RNAcentral lists this unclassified non-coding RNA (660 nucleotides) under Schizosaccharomyces pombe (fission yeast). RNAcentral's name for it is "non-coding RNA (predicted)". The record is from RNAcentral. Lineage: Eukaryota; Fungi; Ascomycota; Schizosaccharomycetes; Schizosaccharomycetales; Schizosaccharomycetaceae.
UUAUAAUAGAUUCUUUCUAAAUCUCGGAGCAUAUUCUGGCUCAUUUUAUAUUUAUAUUUUCCUUUUCAGCUUUUUAGAACUCAAUUCCGACCUCAGUUUGGUUGCAACUUUGCUACAGACACUAUUUAAUAUCUCGGUCUCCUGUACAUUUUACCAGGUUUACGUUGUAUUGUUUAUAUAGUUUAUAUAGCAAUAUUUACUACAUGUUCAUCAUAUUACGAAAAUAGAUUAAGAGAACUGGGGAAAGAGUGAGGAGAUGAGAAAUUUUCGGAUUUAUUUAUAAUUUCCAAUUAUUAUUUUUAAGACGAAAUUGCCGCGAGACUACAUUGUCCAUGAAAUUAAUGUUUGUGUUUAUUCUACUAAAGGGUAUGAAUGCUCGAUCUCGUGCCAAGGUGCCUACAAUCUUAAUACGCCGCUGCCUGUGUAUGAUUAUAAUAUUACUUCUGUUUUUUGCACAGAAAGCGUGUUUCAUUUCAAAGAUUGACUUCCAAUUAAAUUUAAUUAAUAAUAUGUUGUUUCAUUUCCUUAUUUAACUACCAAUUCUUGUUCAUUUGCAAUUCACUCAAAUAUGUAACUGAACGUUGUCAGGUAAUUUUUUGGCUUUAAAUGAUAUGCCUCAAUGGAAUAUAAAAAAGCAUAAUCCUAUAUAACUAUUGUUUU